Molecule: long non-coding RNA, 1820 nt
Organism: Vicia villosa (hairy vetch)
Lineage: Eukaryota; Viridiplantae; Streptophyta; Magnoliopsida; Fabales; Fabaceae
Exons: 3
Source: RefSeq, a predicted model, not a curated record
GAUUCAACUAAACACAUUAAAUCAGAUUAAAAUCCAUAUUAACAAGUUAAGCCAAAUUUAAAGGGAUUAGGUUUACUAACGUGAAACUCAACUCUUCCCCUUUCUCAAACGCAAACGGUGCGGCGGCUAGUCCUCCAUCGACGACGAGGCCGCGCGGCUUUCCGGCCACCUCAACCUUUGCUUCCAUUCUUCUUCAUCUUUGGUUCCAAUUCCAACUUCUAAUCACGGAUUGACCUUCGCUGCUCGCCUUCUCACACUUCCCCGUUCAUGAUUCAACACUUCGAGUCUCUUCUUCUUCUCAUUUCGUCUUCUUCUGUUCUUAGAUUCGUUGUGUUUGUGUGAUGUUGUGAGGUUGUUGUUGUUGCAGCGAUGUGAUGCAAGAUGAGAAUGAACGUAAUGCGAUUUGGUUAUCAUGAAGACUAAGCUUGGAGUCGCGGUUCCGCCGCAGUGAUGAAGAUUUGCGGUAAGCUUGCUAUGGUGAUUGAAAGUGUCGAUGCUGAACCUUUCUGAGGAUUACAGGGAAGUUACGGUUAUAUGAUGUAUUGUGAAAUUGAAGAUUGUUCUCUAACUGUGAUUUUGUUUUUCUGUUUUCUGUUAUGCUGUUUUUAUGAAUUUUUAGGUUAUCCUCGAUGAAGAUAGAGGAAGAUUGAAGAUGAUGAAGUCAAGAAUGAUGAACGUUGAUGAAGCUUUUUGCAGAUUGAUGAUGAAGAAGGUUGCAGAUACGCUUCGCGGUGAAGAGAAGCUUCGAUCUGUGUUGAUGAUCUGAUGUGAUUUUGUCGAAGCGUAAUGAAGGUGAUGCUGUUGUGGCUCGGUGUUGUUACGAGGUUGCGAUUUCAGAGAAGGUGAAGAUGAUGAGAGGUUGAACAAUCUUCUGUGGUGAAUCGGUGGUGAGAUUGAAGAAGAGUGGAUGAAGGUUUUGUUGAGAGAAAAAGAUGAAGAGUGAUUGGAAGAGGUUUUUCUUGAAGGUUCCUUGAAGAAGAAGAGUGAUGAAGGUGGUUAUCGAGAUUCAAUCCAGAUAGAAGGUUGAGAUUCCAAAGUUUGUUACAUUCUAUUAGAAGUUUGUUACAGGCUGCUUUUGGUUUGAACUUGCAGGGUCGGCUUUACUCAAGAGUGCUGUAGAAUUCAAGGUUGCAACUGGUUUGUAAACCAAUAUGGGAUGGGCUUUCAAUUUCUCACGGUUUCUGUCAAGCCGCAGAGAUCAAUUUCUCACGCUUUUAAUUUCUUUGAAUUGCUUCUGGUUUUAUUUUGCACUAUGUAGCGUGAAUUUGGUUGUUGAUUUUCCUUAUAAUUGAAGAGAGUCCUUUACCUUUUGCAACGUGGGCUACUGGUGCCAAAUUUGUAAUGGUGACAAUCUGAAUGUAUUUAAAUGGACUUUCCCUUUCAAGUAUUUUUUUUUGUAACUUCCAUACUUUUUCUAUUUUGUGAAUGAACCUUGCAUAUACAUAUUACAAUGAGUCUUGAAGGAAUUUUGUGAUGAAUCUGGAUAGAAAUUUAAAUGGGCUUUGCUUUUAUAGUCGAGACUCCAAGCAAUUCAAUACCACCUUAAUCCGACUAAACUAAGAACUCAUGGCCAUCAGUGAUUUCUAGUGAAUUCAAAUUUUCAAUCUAAUGAAAACUUGUCUUCGACUCUCAAACCACAAACGAUUUUCAUUUCAAGAAUGAACUCGAAAAUUUGCGCUCUUGAUAAUUAACUGAUCUGGCUUAAAACAAGAAAGACCAGGCAACCCCAUUGCUGAGGGAAAAAACUUCAAUUGGUCUGGGCACCAAGAGAAGGUUGUCAUCUUCGGUUGAUCUGGAUAUCACAGCGAAACAGACGACUU